This 346-nucleotide ribosomal RNA is filed under the name uncultured eukaryote. RNAcentral's name for it is "SSU rRNA". It matches the Rfam family "Eukaryotic small subunit ribosomal RNA", at positions 594 to 945 of the family's 1831-position model. The record is from RNAcentral.
AUAGCGUAUAUUAAAGUUGUUGCAGUUAAAAAGCUCGUAGUUGAAUUUUAGGCCUGGUUGGCCGGUCUGCUCUAGGGUUUGUACUGUCCUGACCGGGUCUUACCUUCUGGUGAGCUGUCGUAUUGUUUACUCAGUGCGGCAGGGAACCAGGACUUUUACUUUGAAAAAAUUAGAGUGUUUAAAGCAGGCAUUCGCUUGAAUACAUUAGCAUGGAAUAAUAGAAUAGGACUUUGGUUCUAUUUUGUUGGUUUCUAGGACCGAAGUAAUGAUUAAUAGGGAUAGUUGGGGGCAUUAGUAUUUAAUUGUCAGAGGUGAAAUUCUUGGAUUAAUUGAAGACUAACUACUG